Long non-coding RNA from Carassius auratus (goldfish), 440 nucleotides. RefSeq lists it as uncharacterized. The transcript is spliced from 3 exons. Lineage: Eukaryota; Metazoa; Chordata; Actinopteri; Cypriniformes; Cyprinidae. The record is from RefSeq and is a predicted model, not a curated record.
GCUAGUGACAUCAGCAUCAUCUACUCACCUGCUAGUGACAUCAUGCUCCUCUUCACCUGCUAGUAACUUGCCUGCUUUGUGAUAAGCAAAUUUUGCUAUCUUCUAAUUCUGAACCCAUCAGAAAUCACCAACCCCUCCUGACAUAUCUUUCCAGUUUGGGUUUUGCAUGGUCCCCAAUAAACUCAACGUGGGAUGCCUCUCCCAUUUCUUUCACAUCAGGGCAAUUAACCUAUACCAGGCCACAGAGAGGUUCUUCAUUUGGGUCCACUACUUUGCCAUCUGCACCGAGGUGUGGAGCAUCAGGGUGGAUGAUGAGACUAGAUGGAGUAACGUUAACGUCAAAGGUCUCCUCAUAGCGGUGAAGAACCUCUGGCUCAAGUUUCAAUCCUCUACACAUCGCUCUCUAGAGACCCUGAAAGAUGUUUACACACACUGUUUAA